CUUCUUUUUAUUUCUCCCUUUAUUGAUCAAGAAUACUGAAAUUAAUUCAAGACGAUAGAUUUUGGGAAGUCGGAUCAAAAACAAAAUUGACAAAUAAAAAGAAAACACCACUAUAUCAGAGAACAAAAUCACCUAAGUAAAACUCUGGAGUAUUCUUAAUCAGCAUAGAUGAAGGGUCAUAAAAGCUAUAUUAUGAACAUUGAUAGGGCAUCACUGCCUUUUAGAUGCUCGCUAAUAAUAAAGGGACUACCUGUUACAUGAAUACUUUGGGUGUUUUUAGUAUGACGAAUGUCAUUUUUCGUGAAAAUACUUUCUAUGACGAAGACAUUUUCUGGUGUUUGGUUACCAUACGAGAACACUUCCCAUCAAAAUGGACAUGGAGAAAAUGACUUCCAUAACUUAUGAGCGGAAGUCAUUCUCCAUAGAACUAUCUUGACUUUUAAAUUUAUA
Molecule: long non-coding RNA, 450 nt
Filed under: Nicotiana benthamiana
Lineage: Eukaryota; Viridiplantae; Streptophyta; Magnoliopsida; Solanales; Solanaceae
Description: long non-coding RNA (NBEN_LNC002256)
Source: RNAcentral